UGGGUAACCUGCCUCAAAGAGGGGAAUAGUCUCCCGAAAGGGAGAUUAAUACCGCAUAAUAUGUUUAGGUCGCAUGACUUUAACAUCAAAGGAUUUUCUUUUAAGAAAUUCCACUUUGAGAUGGACCCGCGGCGCAUUAGCUAGUUGGUGAGGUAACGGCUCACCAAGGCAACGAUGCGUAGCCGACCUGAGAGGGUGAUCGGCCACAUUGGAACUGAGACACGGUCCAGACUCCGUAGGGAG
Molecule: ribosomal RNA, 243 nt
Filed under: uncultured bacterium
Lineage: Bacteria
Description: partial 16S ribosomal RNA
Rfam family: Bacterial small subunit ribosomal RNA
Source: RNAcentral